This 507-nucleotide ribosomal RNA is filed under the name uncultured bacterium. RNAcentral's name for it is "bacterial SSU rRNA". It matches the Rfam family "Bacterial small subunit ribosomal RNA", at positions 28 to 526 of the family's 1533-position model. The record is from RNAcentral.
GAUGAACGCUAGCGGCAGGCCUAACACAUGCAAGUCGAGGGGUAACAGGAAAAAGCUUGCUUUUUCGCUGACGACCGGCGAACGGGUGCGUAACACGUAUGCAACCUACCUCUAUCAGGAGGAUAGCCCAGAGAAAUCUGGAUUAAUACUCCAUAGUAUCAUUCUUUCGCAUGUUAGAAUGAUUAAAGCUCCGGCGGAUAGAGAUGGGCAUGCGUCCCAUUAGCUAGUUGGUGAGGUAACGGCUCACCAAGGCAACGAUGGGUAGGGGUUCUGAGAGGAUGAUCCCCCACACUGGUACUGAGACACGGACCAGACUCCUACGGGAGGCAGCAGUGAGGAAUAUUGGUCAAUGGACGAAAGUCUGAACCAGCCAUGCCGCGUGCAGGAUGACUGCCCUAUGGGUUGUAAACUGCUUUUAUAUACCAAGAAACCCCUGGACGUGUCCGGGGCUGACGGUAGUAUAUGAAUAAGCACCGGCUAACUCCGUGCCAGCCGCCGCCGUAACAC